This 1528-nucleotide unclassified non-coding RNA is filed under the name Hevea brasiliensis (rubber tree). Lineage: Eukaryota; Viridiplantae; Streptophyta; Magnoliopsida; Malpighiales; Euphorbiaceae. The record is from RNAcentral.
CAAUCAUAAACAACUUCUAUGGAACCUGUCUACAUGGACACAGAUGAUACCCAGAAACUUGCUGCUGAACCUCUACCAUUUGCUAGGAGCUAUCAACUAGAGGCACUGGAGAUGGCAUUAAAGCAAAACACAGUGCUGUUCUUGGAGACUGGUUCUGGCAAGACUUUGGUUGCAAUCAUGCUUCUGCGCAGUUAUGCCUAUCUUAUUCGCAAACCUUCACAUUUCAUCGCUGUCUUCUUGGUUCCCCAUGUUGUUCUGGUCCAACAACAAGCCGAAGCUGUGGAAAUGCACACUGACUUCAAUGUGGGUCAGCUCUAUGGAGAAAAGGGAGUUGACUGCUGGGAUGCUGCUAUUUGGAAGCAACAUUUAGAAAAACAUGAGGUGCUUGUGAUGACACCACAAAUUUUGCUCGAUGGUUUGAAGCAUUCCUUUUUCAAGCUAGACUUGAUAAAGGUUUUGAUAUUUGAUGAAUGCCAUCACGCAAGGGGUAAUCACCCUUAUGCUUGUAUUUUGACAGAAUUCUAUCACCGUCAGUUAAGCUUUGGCAAUUGUAAUCUUCCAAGGAUAUUUGGAAUGACAGCUUCUCCAAUUAAAUCGAAGGGUGCAAACUCAGAACAGGCGUAUGGGCAAAAGAUUUUUGACCUUGAGAAUAUGAUGCACUCAAAGGUCUAUACAUGUGUUAGUGAUUCUGUACUCGCUGAGUUUAUACCAUUUUCAACUCCAAAGUUUAAAUUUUACAAUCACAAGGACAUCCCUUAUGCUAUAUAUGUGAGUUUAGUAGAAAAAUUGAAGAUUUUGAAAGCAAAGCAUGAAUGCAAAUUGAAGCAAUUGGAUCUCACUGAUUCUGUGGUAGAAUCUACAAGCAAGAACAUAUCAAAAAUGCAUUCUACGUUGAUGUAUUGUUUGGAUGAACUUGGUGUUUGGCUGGCUUUUAAGGCUGCACAGAUCAUGUCAUCCCAUGGAAGUAACUUUCCUUCAUGGGAUAAAUUGGAUGUGUUCGGGGACAAUAUUGUUAAAGAGUUCGGUUUUGUAGCCUCACAGGAAUUUGAUAAUUGCAUUAGAACCGGUAUUUCUUUUUUAACUCGGUGACAGAAUUAGUGGAGAUCUAUAUAGUCAAAUUAAUGAUUAUUCUCUUGCACAUUUUCUUUUUCUUGGUUCAGCUAUUGAACAUCUAGGUCCAAAAUGGUCUAUUGGUGAUAAUGCUAAAUAUGAUGUAGAUGCUGGGCUUUUGACUACAAAAAUCUUUUGCCUCAUUGAUUCACUUCUUGAAUACAGGUUGGUGUGUAUGCACACUCAAUUACCUUUGUCAAAUAUAAUUAAUGCUUUUUCAACCUCUCUUAAUACUAUGCACAGGGUUAUUGGAAGAUUGAUAAAGUUUUUCAUUGUCAGUUCUUUGUCAUCCAUAGAAAUGUUCUAAUACCGUAUCAAAAUUGUGUCAAAUACUAUUGAGUUUAAUGGCUUACAUAUUAUUUCAAAUUUAAUGCACUUUUUUUCCUAAUAAACCACUUCAAAGAAGUAAAGAUGAAAG